GUAAAUGCGAUGAUCGGAUCAAGUAACUGAUCGAAAGGAGCUACAGAGAGCAGCCGGUUGGUGAGAGGCGCAGCAAACAGCUUUCAGUGAAUACCUCCGUGAGCAGCUUUUCGGAACAGGAGAUAUCCUAAGUAGGGAAAGACGGGGAUGCCCGUUAUCGUGCAUAGGACUGUGACAGCAGCCCGCGAGGCAUGGCGUGUGAGCGUUAUGUGAAUAAAGGUGGUAACACGGAAAAUUUUCCGUCCUUUGC
This 250-nucleotide non-coding RNA is filed under the name Lachnospiraceae bacterium. RNAcentral describes it as "T-box sequence". It matches the Rfam family "T-box leader". From Rfam's summary of the family: Uncharged tRNA acts as the effector for transcription antitermination of genes in the T-box leader family. T-boxes are found upstream of many aminoacyl-tRNA synthetase genes and some amino acid biosynthetic genes usually in Gram-positive bacteria. The record is from RNAcentral. Lineage: Bacteria; Bacillati; Bacillota; Clostridia; Lachnospirales; Lachnospiraceae.